This 602-nucleotide long non-coding RNA is filed under the name Equus caballus (horse). RNAcentral's name for it is "lncRNA (ENSECAG00000060039.1)". Lineage: Eukaryota; Metazoa; Chordata; Mammalia; Perissodactyla; Equidae. The record is from RNAcentral.
CUAAGCCCAUCAACCAGGCAGUCUAGUGAGAGGAAACGCAGCGGCGAGGCCGAUGGCUCCCACUGGCGAGAAGAACUGAAAAUAAAGGAAUACUACAGGAAGUGGGGGCAGUGGAUUAAAAUGUCACAACUGGAAAGCAGGAUGCUGAAUCUUGAGUUACGUGUUGAGAGAAGAGAAAGAGAAGGAGGAACUGAGGAGGAGCCAGCCAAGGCGGGGGUCUGCUGAGCUGGCGGAAUGUGGCAGGGCUGGGACGCUACAGAAGUAAAAGUGAUACUAAGUGACAAGAACAAGCAGUUGGAAAAAGUCUGUCUUAAAAGGAGGUUUGCAACAUACAAGCUUACAAUUACUAACUGGUACUGUGGAAAUGAGCAUGAUACUGCUUAAAACUCGCCUGCCAAUCUUAGGGAAAAAUGGCUCAACUCUGGUCUUGUAAGAUAACCAGGAGCAGAAUCAAGACACAGCCCAAGUUUCCAGACUCCUGUCUCUCCAGACUCCCAAUCUAAUAUUCGUCUUACCACGCCCUCCUGCACCCUUGCAGCUACUCCACAUCAGCAAUUCAUUCUCAGUUUUUCUCUCACACUUUUUUUUUAACUAAUAAAUUU